CUACGGAGGAUGCGAGCGUUAUCCGGAUUUAUUAGGUUUAAAGGGUGUGUAGGCGGUAUUUUAAGUCAGUGGUGAAAUCUCGGAGCUUAACUUCGAAACUGCCAUUGAUACUGGAAUACUUGAGUAUAGUUGAGGUAGGCGGAAUAUGUAAUGUAGCGGUGAAAUGCAUAGAUAUUACAUAGAACACCGAUUGCGAAGGCAGCUUACUAAACUAUUACUGACGCUGAUGCACGAAAGCGUGGGGAGCGAACAGGAUUAGAAACCCUAGUAGUCC
RNAcentral lists this ribosomal RNA (274 nucleotides) under uncultured bacterium. Its description in RNAcentral is "partial 16S ribosomal RNA". It matches the Rfam family "Bacterial small subunit ribosomal RNA", at positions 523 to 796 of the family's 1533-position model. The record is from RNAcentral.